UGCCACUGAUGAGGAGGUGAAGAAACAACAGACGAGGCACUCGAGGAGACAUAGGGCCAGGUCAAUCUUACGAUGCGAUUCAUCUGGGCCUGCCGGGAGCGUCAGAACCGCAGCCCGCCGUGGGCACCAUCACCCUCCUCUCCUACGUUCCUACCCAGCCGUGAGAUCUCAGCCUCGGAGGAUUUGCAAGUCCGUAGUAACAAUGAUCGAGGCCAACGCCAGCGAUUCCCAAGUCGUCCCCGUCGAGAUCCCUUCCACAGUUCCUCCACCGAGUCCGCACCACAGCAUCAGCAUCACCGUCCACGCGGCGACGCCGGAGCACACCAACCGGCGGCGUCCUUUGCUUGCAAUCUUCCACGAAGCCACACUGAGCGGCCGAUCCAGGAGGCCAGCCUCGCCGCCCCCAUCCCCCUGUGUCCUCUCGAGAUGGCGAGAUGGUCGGGCACCCCGGCGGCCAAGCACCCUGGAGGCCCCACCAUACGCUGCAGCUUGUUGUGACGAACGUGCAUGGGGAGGACGUCGUGGGGAGGUUCCUGGGUGCAACCGCCACGGCAGCGAUGACCGCGGAGUACGAGCCUACGAGGCACGAGGCGACGAAGGCGCUCCUGGAGGAAAUCGCGGCUGUGUGGGCAGCGGAGGAAGAGACAAAUAAUCUCGUCAGCGGAAUCAAAAGUUAAUGCAGAACUGGCCGCAACAGGCAAAGAGGUAGAGGCCCGAAGAUGGAGAAUAUCACGCACGUGGAGGAGCUAGAGAAGGAAACUGCAUAUAUGCCUUUGUCAAUGUGCAAUCGAACAGCCAUCGGGUGGUGAUGAGAGGACUACUGAAGCAGGGGAAGCACACUUCAGUUGGUUACCCAUGGUUUUUUCAGAAGAUGCAAAGCAUCCAGAAUGUGACCAGUCACACACUAGAGAGCAUCGAGAGCUUCUGUCAUUGGAUAAUGGCAUCAAAUAUGCGGUUCAAGUCCUUUCACAGUGCAGGUGAACUGAAGAAUUCUAUCAAAUAUAAGUGCCCUUUCAAGAUUGGCAUUGUCCUUUCUUCAGUGUACAUAUGAUAUUACAUGAUUAAACAUACCAAUUGUUUAACUUGAUUUAGUUGUCGAGAGAACUUAUUUUUUACAUUGUAAGAAACAUGUCCUGUUUUUUCCCAUUAUUUAAGUGUGUGCCAUAUUAUCUUUGUUCAUGAUUCUGACUUUACA
Triticum aestivum (bread wheat) is the source of this 1195-nucleotide long non-coding RNA. RefSeq lists it as uncharacterized. The transcript is spliced from 3 exons. The record is from RefSeq and is a predicted model, not a curated record. NCBI's taxonomy places the organism in Eukaryota, Viridiplantae, Streptophyta, Magnoliopsida, Poales, Poaceae.